This 19832-nucleotide long non-coding RNA is filed under the name Prunus persica (peach). RNAcentral's name for it is "long non-coding RNA (PPER_LNC003620)". The record is from RNAcentral. Lineage: Eukaryota; Viridiplantae; Streptophyta; Magnoliopsida; Rosales; Rosaceae.
UUGGAGAUAAAGUUAUGAUAAAUACAAGCAGACGUAUAUUCAGGUUGGAUGUCUAUAAAGAUGGCUUUUGUAUACAAAAUCCCUCUUUGUGGACACGUUUGUCUCUACAACUAAACAGUUAUUGACUCCCAGCACAGGGUUCAUAUCAAUCCCUCCGUAAGGUGGCCUCAAAGUGCUUCAAACGCUCUUAACUUCUUUUCAACAUUAAAUCAAAUCUUGUCCUUAAGGGCUUGAGUUUGAGUGUCAAACCAAUCAAGUGUUGCUUGAGACAACUAGUUCAAGCACAUUAUUUGGUUCAGUUUAUUAAUGUGAACUACAUAUGAAGCUAUAACUAUUUAGUUGUAAUUAUAAAAUUAUAGAAUGCAUUACCUUUACAUUCUCCCAAACAUCCCUUACUGCAGAUCCUUUUCGAAAUUUUCUCCAAUUUGUGAUACUCAUUGGAAAUCUCAAUUUUUCUAGUGCAAACAUCAUGAUGAACCUAAAGUAUUGUGCACAAGUCCUUCAAGGUGUUUCUUCUUGUCAUUUUGAGUAAUAUUGUACAUUCUCAAGGUUAGUUAUCACGACUCAACUUCACUAGUAAGAUGUUGUCUUCUUUUGGUCUGGCCCUCACAGUAUUUUUCAUGCCCACACAUAUAUGACACCAUGUUUUCUUCCCCGACCGAUGUGGGAUUAUUCACUGAUCUUGCCACUCCUUGUCUUGCAUUUUUCAGCCCUCACAAGUCUUACAUUAGUUACAACCCAAUUGUGCUUGUUUCAUCCCCUUGGUUUCCUUGGAUGGCAUCCCCUCAAAUUGUUGCUUGUCUCAUCUAUUAUACCUUCCACAUUAUUGUUCACAUGGUGUCCAUUGAAGCUUGAUUCAUUUUGCAAGUUGUUGUAACGCUAUGUCUAGUUGCAUAGGUGACUGUGUCUCUCCAUCCCUUCCUUGUUCAGCUAUGUAAGCUCCUGCAAGAAUUCGCUCAUUUUCCUUUUAUUUUGGGUUUUAAGGUUUGGGUAUUUGGAACACACUACACUGCAUGUUUGUAUGAACUAAACUACUUUAAAAGGUCUCUUCGGAUGAGAAGAACUGCCCUUAUUUAGAUGCUUAGCAUGGCCAUUGUCUUUGCAUUCACAAAUUUUUUUUUUCUCUUGUGUGAGUAACAAAUAAGCAUUUCUAACAUACGAUUGUGCAUUCAUAAGCAAUAUUUGCUCACGAAUAGUUGCAUAGUUAUCAUAAAGUCCCAUUAGAAACUCCAUCAAAUUAUGUCUCUCUUCUUGUUCAUAAAUGAUCUUCAUCGUGCCAAAUGUGCAAGUGUCAGUAUCAUUGUAGGAUGUUGACUCAUCUUAAUAACUCUUCAAUUUUAAAUAAGUUGGAUGCAUCAUGUAAGGAAAUCUUAUUUGACAAUGAUACAUAAGCCGUACUUUCCUACUUGAAAGCAAAAGUGGUAGUUGAUCCUGAACUAUUUUGUAAGUUUAGUGUUGACGAGGAGAAUAGUCUUGCAAAUUUGUUUUGGUGAGUCUCCACUUCACUUUUGGAGUACGUUGCCUUUGGAGAUGUCCUUAUAUUCGACAACACACAGAAAACAAAUAUGUAUGACAUGCCUCUAGAGUUUUUAUUGGUUUGAACAACCACCGGUCCACUGAAAUAUUUACUUGCGCAUUAUUGCUUGACAAGACAUUUGAAACUUACAAGUGGAUGUGCGAGAUAUUCAUGGUGUCCAUGAAAGGAAAUAAGCCAAUAUCAAUAUUGACGGAUGGUAAUGAAGUGAUACGUAAAGUCAUUGAUGAUGUGUUUCUCAUGUCUAACCAUCGGUUGUACUCAUAGCAUGUGUUUAGCCCAGGAACGCAGAGAAUAACUUGACGGACGAUCAACUGCUAAGAGAAUUUUGGGCAUGUCUUUGGGAACCAUUUGCGGUGGACAUGAUGUAUGCAAGAUGAGAAUCAUGGGCGGAAUCAUGUCUUAGAGGAAAGAUUUUUGGUGGCAUGUGCACCACUUAACGCGUGGAGUCUAUGAAAAAGUAUGUGAAGAAUCAUAAUGGCCUCACUUCAAUUUUGUAAGUUGUUUGAAUGCAUUCAGUAAGUUGCUAUGGCCAUGUUACGUCUUAGGAAUGUGACGGUGAAAGAUGGUUUCGACGCAAAGUACUCAACACAAGUCAUUAUAACCACAUUCAUGACCAACAAGCUUUCGAGAAUUACACGCGUAGGUGCUUUGUAUUGGUAUGUCAGGAGAUCAAAGUGUGUUCCGUACUCACCCAUGAUAAGGUGAUGCAUAAUUUUGGAGGUCAUGUAUACGUAUUUUGAAAAUAUCGUGAACUGCAUAGUAACUGGAGUGUGUACCACAGAGGGGUAAACGUGCAGAUAGAGUAUGGGUGUCGAAAAUUUGAAAGUGAACAAAUCCCGUGCUGCCAUCUUUUUUUAUAUAAUGAAGUGCGAGUACCUUAGUGAAAUUCCUUCAUCGUUCAUAAUAAAGAGAUUGACAAAGAGCGCCCAAAGUGAUGCUUCGAGCAACAAUAUGGGUGAAUGGAAGGAAGUUAUAGAAAUGGCGUGGUGCAGAAUUUGAAAUGUUACAUCAAAUAAAGUUUGUUUUUAUGCAUCAAAGAGUAAUUCCACAAGAAGACACACCAAGAGAGGUUCCAAAUCACUCAAAAGCAUCAAUUAGAAAGGAUGACAAAUUGAAAUUUCUUUCAUGUUUUUCUAAUUUCCAGAGCAUGCUUUCUGAUUUUUUUUAUUAAUUUUUGUUUAUUGAAUUUCUAUAGAAAAAUGAGGAAAUGGUGUUAGAAAUAUGACCUUAAAGCCAACUAAUUAUGUAAUAGUUAGAGUUAAAGACAUAUUAUGUUAAAAGACAUAUUAUGUUAUCAAUGGGCAAGAAAAGGUUGUUUUAUACAUUAAAUCAUCCUAUAUUAUCUUUCAAUAUGUAGAACAACCAUAUUCCAAGAAAUACACAAGUGGAUAUGAGAGCUGUGUAAUGAGAUUGCAAACAUAGAGACUUCUCAUCAUCCCUAAAUUCUGAAUAUCUUCCUGGUCAUAGGAACAUUGAUUAGGCGUCAAUAUUCCGCAAAGACCAGUACACGCAAUAUCGUCUCUAUAUGUAGGGAAUGACAAGGUCUCAAGUGAUUAAGUGUGGAGACACAUCGAUAUGUGUCUAGGUGCUUAUAGAAGAACAAGUACACUGAACGCGAUCCAACACAUAAGUUACAGCAUAAAAGUCUUUACUCACAUGUCGAGCUGGAACUCAUAAAUUGCAAUGGUGCAAACUAAUCCUUAGACCUGAGGCAUCAUAGAUGUUUUGUGGCUAUGUUGUUAAUCUUUGAGGGCACUAUAUGGUCAUGCUGAAUUAGGCAUAGCUUAAAGGUGCUCAUCAGGAUUCUCAAUGAAUGUACAACAAAGAAUCUCUACUUUCAGUAAAGGAGAGAGAAUACUCCAAGAUAUGAUUGAUCAAAUCUCUGCGCAGAGUAGUGGAUAAGACUUGAAAGAAGAAAUCUUCAAAUCAUCACAAGAAAAUCAUAUAAAAGGAAUGAUUCACAUUAGAAUAUUGACAAUCGGAUUCCAUGAUCUAAUAAUGUGAAUAAGGAGUAUUGACAUAAGAGAAGGAUUCAAUUGCAUGGUCAUUCCAAUUUGAAUAGGUUCUUUCACAACGUCUCAUUUAGCUCGGAUAACCGUGACUUGCUGCUAGGGGACAACUAUGGUUUGUGGAUGUCUUAAAAGGUUUCAAUUAAUCUUUAUUAAUAGGAAGAAUUAAAUUGUGGAAUUAAAUUCUUUUAUCAAAACUCACCCAAUGUUCAUAGCUACAGACAACCAAGAAAUACUAUUUGCGGGUGGUGAAAAUUCACCUAAACCAAGCACCUUUCGAAAGCACAAAUAGCAAGGUUCGAGAAUAUCACUCGGGGUGUAUAGAAUAAACGGUCGGGGUGUUGAAAGCUGGCAGCUCGGGAUUUUGCAGUUUAAACCCAAAACUUGGCAGUCGGAUUCGCAGUGACUAUAACCGAGAAGAGCUUGGCGGUCGGGGCGUUGAAGCUUGGCAGCCGGAUUGAAGCAAUCCGGGCUGCGCUCCGUCGAGGCCAGAUUUGCUGGAGGGCUUGGAAAAUGGCAGUUGGAGUUUGUGGCCGAUGCCCAGGGUUUUUGCUGCCAAGAUUUGGAGUUUGGAGCGAUCGAAACCUUGGGGUUUGAAGGUUUGAAGGGUUGAAGGGUUGAAGGUUUGGGUGUUUUCUGGCCGAGUUUUGUGGGUUAGAGUCUUGGACUCGCAGCUGCUGGAAACUUGAAGGUGGUCGGGAUGGAAGCCUAAGAUGCCGCCGGGGCUUUGAAACUAGGCAGCCCAGUUUUUGGAGCUAAGCCGGCCAGAACCCAGGACUUGAAUGCGGCCGGGCUAUGUUCAAACAUGGUUGAAGACUCGAAGACGGCUGAGUUUAGAGCUCUGGGGUCUUGCGAAAAUGCAGUCUGUUCUUUAGAUCUCUGAGGUCUUAUGAAUAUGCGGUUGGGCUGGAGGGUUUUUAGACUAAGCCUUCCUUGUAUUAUUUUAGAGUAAUGCUAUUUAGACACACAACAUUGACCACCUUAUGUGGCAACUGAUGUGUCAUGUCAUGUCAAUUAAUGAAUGCCGCCAUGUCAAUUAAAAAACAAAUUAAAAAACCCUAGCAUUCCUAGUGAGUGGCCUCAUGACAACAUUCAUUAAUUGACAUGGCAUGACACAUCAGUUGCCACAUAAGGUGGUCAGUUAAGGUGGUCAAUAUUGUGUGUCCAAAUAGCAUUACUCAUUAUUUUAUGUAUAUAUAAAUGAACGAAUAUGAAAAUGCGGCUAGGGUUUUUUAGUCUGAGCCUUCCAUAUCUUAUUAUAUAUAUAUAUAUAUAUAUAUAAAUGAACGAAUACGAAAAUGCAGUUGGGGUUUUUUUUUAUUGGGUGAGGUUGAAGGAUUUUGGGCAAUUGGAGUUUGAGAAUUUUAUUAUAUAUUAUAUGUAAUAAAAGUGAAUGGCCAUUUAAUGGAGCUCGGAGGUCCAAGCCCAUGUCACCUAUUCUAGCCCUGGAUUCUGAAAGAAUAUAUGCACACGAAGGAGGCCUCACAAGGGAAGAAAUCAAGGAUAUUGAUGAUAGUUCAGAAUAUUCCAAAACAAGAGAGAAUCAAGCAAUCAAAGUAUCUCCAUCAAUAAAAUCCCAUGGAUUUAGGGGGCCUUGAAAGGAAAGAAUUUUAAUUUGAAAGAUCUGACAUUUGGCCAUUCAAUGACUAGCCCAUGGGCCAACGAAUGCCCUAUAUCAAUUUCACCAAAUGAAGGUAGAAGAGAUAGAUGAUUAGACACACAAACCUAUUUUUCGUCUAGCACUUUUCUUUUCCUAGAUUUAGGAUUUUACUUUUCAAGCACCUAAUGUAGCGAGUCCUUCCUUUUCUUAGUGUAAGUUUAAAUUCUUGUUCAAUUUACAUUUUCUUGUCUUUUAAAUUCAAGUCUAUUUCCAUUGUUUUACUCUUCAUUGUUAUCGCAUUUUAAUUAAGUUUAAUUUAGUUUAUUGUUCUUAUCGCUUCUUGCUUUAUUUAUCGCUUUGAUAUAUUUUAUUGCACUUUAAUUCUUGUCUUUAAGUUUAAAUGCACAUUUAAUUUAAUCGCACGUUUUUCACUUAAAAACCUAAAAAUCACAAAAAUAUCCAUACGAAAGCUUAACCAUCCUGAGCCUGAGGAAGUGAAAGACCCUAGGCCAAGAGGAAGUUCCUUACUUGGCCGAUCAAUCACUUGAUCAGAAGUCAAAAGCGCAACAUAUCCAUCUACUUACAUUCCAUUGAAGCCCAAAUUCGUGGCUUGGUGGUGGCACGCCUCGCAAUCAAAAGAAGAAGGACCAAAAGUUCAUUUCGUCGGCUACCUCGGUCGAAAAGAGGGAAACAAAUACACAAACAAAGGAAAACCCAUUUAGCAAAAUCAUUAAAUAAAUAAAUAAAUAAAGCAAGAAAGUGACAAAUUUCCCAAGCACAUGCGAAGGAGAUUGAGAUUUUGAGUUUGGUUAUGAAACAAAGCAUGCAAAGCAGAUUGAGAGACCAGAGAGCAGGAGAGGAGGGGGGUUGUGGGGGUGGGGUGAGUUUGUUGUGUUAGAGCGGGCUAGUAUAACAUCAUAUGACAUUAUACGUUUAUUAUAAUUAUAUAUAUAUUAUUUAUUAAUUUAAACCUAAGUAUAUAAUAUUUUCGAGCCGGUUUGGAAGACGAGGACGGCCAUUACCAUCCCUGGCCCAAACCCACCGGGAUUUGUUUUUCGAAGAUUCCCAUACUCAUACCCGAUUUCUCAAUUAAGCUUGUUUUCAAUUGCAGAAAAUCCUUAAAUAGGUCUAUUGGUACACAUGGAAAAAAUAAAUAAAACAUGUGUACGGGAUUUAGAGAUUGUAGAGAAAAAUGGGUUAAGUGGAAAUGAGUGACUAGAGUGGAGAAUCCCUUAUAUGAGUUUCCUUCAACAUGGGGCCAGUUCCGGGCCUAUAUGUAUGUUUUCUUAACCAACGGCAAGCUUGACCAAAAAAAAAAAAAAAAACCAACGGCAUGCUUGACCAAAAAAAAAACCAACGGCAUGCGUAUUAUGACAAAGUUCCAUCCAUAUCAAUAUUGAGGAGUAUCUCUCACUCAGAAUGUCCAAAUCAUGUGUCAUUAAAGCCAAGAUGCUCACACAAUUUAGAGACCCAAUCCAAUUGAAGGAACAACGAAAUCAUAGAAGACAAAACAAUAUCUCAAGUAGGGAGAACGCUCAAUCACAAUAAUGCCAAUGCCAAGUACAUCAAAUUUGUGCACUAAAUUUGAGUUUCAAAUAACUUAAUACGUGAAGUCAUAAAUAUUUAAUUAAUCAAUGCUAAUUUAGAUUAUGAUUUAGUUAAUUUAUAUUAGGAAGAAGAUUAAAAACCUUAAUGAAUUAAUCAAAAGUUUGGCAGCUCACUCUAAACAAUCAAGCUUGCUGUUGUACGUACCAUCGUUCCCACCAUCACAAAUAAACGAAAUCUAGCCGCAUGUAUCUUAUUAUUUUUUAUUUUUUACAAUCUUCAGCCUUCAACCACUCAUCUCUCUCUCUCUCUCUCUCUCUCUCUCUCUCUCUCUCUCUCAAAUUCUCAAAUUUUGUUUUUCCUAUCUUUUGUAUAUUAUUAUUAUUAUUUUUUUGGUUAUUGAUAAUUAGUAAUUUGAUUAUAACAAAAUUUUAAUUAUAUAAUUUGAUUAUUUUUUAUAAUUUUUUGUUAAGGACUUUAUUUUAGAAGGCUUUCUUGUUGUUUUGGCAUAGGCCCUUAAAAUCUCAAAGCCACCGGCCCCUGAUGUUUGUAUCUGUAAUAAUUUUACAAUAUAGAAAAGUGAAAUCCAAGGAUUUGAUGGAGUUUCUGAUCAUGGUGAAGGAUCAUUAGCUAGCGGAGAAACACCAUUAUUGAUUGUUGAAAGGAACGGAAGAGAAGGAAAGGGGAUUUAUAGGGUAUCUGAUUCUCUUUCUAAUUGUUCUUGCUGCCCUGAGGAGAAUAUCUGUGGUUGUUAUAGUGAUGUCUUGUUUUCCUUCAAAUAUAGGGUUCUUGAAGUCUAGCUAGUCUCAAUUCAAAUUGUAGUUUGAAUUUGAAAGCUCAGUAAAUAUCUAGAAAUUACGACCUUUUGGUUGGCAACCCAGCUGAGUUGUUGUACUCUAAACUGUAAAAUUGUUACAAAUACAAAUGAAUAAUACAAAGUUUCUUGUUUUCUUCUAUUUUAUUUAUAUCGGUUAUUUGCGAUAGUGGGAACGAUCGUAGGAGUACAAAGUUAUUAGUUACUACACUCUAUUACGGCUUCACUAAAAAUUUCAUAAUUAAAUGUUAACCAAGGACAGAUGUGAAAGACUUGGUGAAAGUUUCAAGUGCUUUCAACCCUUCUUUAGGAGACUUGGCUUCCCCCAACACCUUCACAAUGGCACUACCAACAAUAACACCAUCAGCUCCCCACUCUGCUACUUGUUUCACAUGUUCAGGCUUUGAUAGCCCAAAACCAACUGCCACAGGCUUGGUUGUUGCCUCUCUAAUUUCCCUUAAAAGCCUCGGAAUUUGUUCGUUCACCGAUUCACGGGCACCGGUAACUCCCACAGUGCUCACAAGGUAUACAAAUCCUUCUGAAGCUUCAACUAUCUUCUUCAUUUGAUCUAUUGGCGUAGUGGGUGUAGUUAGUAAUGCCAACUCAACGUUAUUCUUCACAGCCUCCUUUCUCAAGCUUUUUGUCUCUUCAAAUGGAGCAUCUGGAACCACAAGACCAUGUACCCCAACGUCGCUAAUUGUGGACAUGAAGUUUUCAAUACCAUGCUUUAUAAUUGGGUUAUAGUACGAAAAUAGAACGAUUGGACAAGACAAUUGUGGUAUUACGUCCUUUAACAUUGACAUAAUAGAAUUGAAAUUGGUCCCUCUAGCUAAGGAACGAGUGGCUGAAGCCUGAAUAACUGGACCGUCUAGUAUUGGAUCAGAGUGUGGCACACCUAACUCGAUCACGUCCGCCCCACUAGAAUUGAGCACCUUCAGCGCUUGCGCCGUGGUUGAAAGGUGAGGAUCACCGGCAGUGAUGUAAGGGAUAAAUGCUACUUUGCGUUGGUUCUUCAAUUUUGUGAAAGUUUGUGAGAGAUUGUUGGUAGCGGUCAAGGUGAGAGCAGCCAUUGGUGUUAGAGGACUUUUCUUGACUGGAACGGUUGAUGCUUGGGAUAGAAGAAGAAAUGGGUUUUGAGGUUUCUUAAAUUGAAGAAAGCCAGUAGCAGUGGAUUUCAGAGAAGCAGCCAUUGACAAUAUUUUAAUGUUGUAGUGUAGUAGGAUGAAGACUUUAGGGUUUAAUAAUUUGGUGGAUGCCAAUACUUAUUUAUAAGUUCAUGUCUAAUGCAAGGGCAAGGGGCUAGGUGCUAUUCACAAAAUUUAUCCUCUCAACUUUUUUGUGGUUCUAGUGGUGAUGAGGGGUUAGGGGGUAAAACUCAAAACUUGUCAUUUUAGUUUAUCACUAUUCUGGGCUGUAGCCUAGGGAAGGUUUUGGGGAAAAAAAUAAUUAAACAUAAAAUAUAGCCUAAUAUUUUUAACUAAAAAUAAAUAAAUAAAAUAUACAAUUGUAUAUCCUACCACACAUUGGCGGACCUAUUAAGCACCUCUCUUGACUGGAAAAAACCAUUGUAGGUGCUUCAAAUUGUCCAUUUGCUCAGCAGGUGGUGGUGCACUCCAAGUGUAUAGAUGACCUUAUUUCCAUUUUCAGAAUUUAAGUAAAUGUCUUUGUCCUUUUACUUUAAUUUAUUUUUAUAUUACUCAAUUUACUUAAGUUUACAAUGUAAAUAAGGUAGUACCCCCCAUUUGUAUUCAAAUAAAAAUGCUAGAAAAUUAAAUUCCCACCAAAUCCAAAUAUGAAAAAUCAGUUUUAGUGCAAAAUACUAUUUAGGCUAAAAAUGAUGGCUCAUUAAGUCAAUAUAUAUUUCAUACUAAAAUCCCAUAAAAUCAAGUUUUCUUAUUUGUUGUGUGAGGAAUAAAAGCUGCAAAAAUUAUCUUGAUAAAAUAAUUAUUCCCAAAAACCAUUUUCAUACUUAGUCAAUAUUUUUACAUGAAACAAUUUUUCAUUUAUGACAUGAAUGCACGAAGAGACCUAAGGUCAAUGUAGAUAAAAAGCCUUAGAUAUUCAAUCCACAAAGAGUUUUUAGCCUUUCAAAAUUGCACUUCCACUAAAAAAUUCCUGGAUUUGCCAGUGCUACCAAACCCAUAGUCAUAGUCAAAGGUCUUCCAUAUUUGUAUUUGGUGUUAAAGUUUGUCCACACAUCAAUUUUAAUCAUUUUCCAUUAACGUAUCUCCAAACGAUAAGCAUUUUUCUAAAUAAAAUUCACCCUUUCGUGAAUAAUAUGGCUCUAAUUUCAUUUUUUUCUUGUAAGUAUACUUUUAUUUCUAGAAAAACUAUGGGAACUCUUAGUAAAAAAAUAAAAAUAAUUAUCAUUAGAUUUUAAACUAAUAACUUUAGCUAGCCCACCCAUUGAAAAAUUUCUGGUUCCACCCUUGAUGCCAACUCAGCAUUAUUCUUCACAGCCUCCUUUCUCAAGCUUUUUGUCUCUUCAAAUGGAGCAUCUGGAACCACAAGACCUUGUACCCCAACGUCGCUAAUUGUAGGCAUGAAGUUUUCAAUACCAUGCUUUAUAAUUGGGUUAUGGUACGAAAAUAAAACGAUUGGAAAAGAUAUAACUGUGGUGCCACGUCCUUUAACAUUGAAAUAAUAGAAUUGAAAUUGGUCCCUCUAGCUAAGGAACGAGUGGCUGAAGCCUGAAAAACUGGACCGUCUAGACUCUAGAAUUGGUACCACGUCCUUUGACAUAAUAGAAGUGAAAUUGGUCCCUCUAGCUAAGGAACGAGUGGCUGAAGCCUUAAUAACUUUACCGUCUAGUAUUGGAUCCGAGUGUGGCACACCUAACUCGAUCAUGUCCGCCCCACUAGAAUCGAGCACCUUCAGCGCUUGCGCCGUGGUUGAAAGGCCGGGAUCACCGGCAGUGAUGUAAGGGAUAAAUGCUACUUCGCGUUGAUUUUUCAAUUUUGUGAAAGUUUGAGAGAGAUUGAUGGUAGGGGUCAAGGUGAGAGCAGCCAUUGGUGUUAGAAGACUUUUCUUUACUGGAACGGUUGAUGCUUGGGAUGGAAGAAGAAAUGGAUUUUGUGGUUUCUUAAGUUGAAAAAAGCCAGUAGCAGUGAAUUUCAGAGAAGUAGCCAUUAAUGUUGUAGUACAUGAUGAAGACUUUAGGGUUGAAUAAUUUGGAGGGCUGCUUGUUAAUGUUUGAUACAAAUACAAGCCGAAAGUUAUAAGAGUUCCUUGGAAGUUUGGGACAUAGAAAAGUAGCACAGACAAGGACAUAUGAAAUUUAAAUGUGGAACAGAUUUCUUUUUCCUACAAAAAUAACGUGUAAUAUUUGGACACUGUUUCUGAGACCACCCCGAGUCAUGUCACCACGUGAGAAAACACAGUCAAAGUAGACAAUAGACAAUGAAAGAAAGAAACUACGUACAUUUUGACACAUCAGUAUGUCGUCUUGUACUGAUUAUUUGUCCAUUAUUGGUGGACAUUCAAAUUAAAUUAUUGGGAUGACAUCUAAAAAGUAAUAUAAUAUAGUGUACCCAACUAAAGCCAAGGAAAUGCAUGCCCGAUGCUAAUGCUGGCAAGAUAACAACUAUCCAUCAGUGCAGAACGCUUUUGGAAAGGAAAUAGAAGUGAUUAAGGCUGUCAAGAUGAACAGAAGAUCAUAUGAAUACUUGAAAAAACAGAGCGCUUUUGAAUUGGACAAGAUGCUUCGAUUGUGGGAUUGCUACUUGAAAAAAAAAAGAGGGCGCUUUUUGAAGCUAGUUAUCAUAUUGUUCAAUUUUUAAUAUUAAAAUCCUCAAGGUUAUGUAAUUGUCUUGAAUGAAAUAGUCCAAUAUUUCAUAACUUUUCACUUAUGUUUUUAUUUAGAAAAAAGUGAUAAUUGUAUUCAUAAAUUAAGCCCAAAGACUAUCAGCGAGAAGCGAAAAUACAAAUAUCCAUAAAAAGAUAAUACAAAUAUGGAAGCAUAGUAACCACACCGAAUAUAAUCUAAAUACAAGUCACAUAAGAUCAGAGAUAUUUCGGCAUAAAAGCCGCAUGUCUGGACAAACCAUACAACUAUAGCUUUUAAACUCUCACAAGUACAAAAAAAAACAAGUAGAGACCAGAACAAUUAAACACCCAACUCACAAGGAGUUGAUGUAAUUAUUACCAAACAACAAAACAAGAAGCACACAACAACCAAAAGCUAACAAAUCCACUAUCACUGCUUUUGCCUCCUCCACUACAACCGACGUCGCCACAUUUAAGACAGAGAAUACCACUGAGAUUACAACCAAGAGCGGAAACAAAUUUAACCACCAAGACUACAUAUCCAAGCAGCUAUGAGUAAAAAAACCAAAAUCCAAAACACAAAUAACCUCCCCCAAUAAAAAUCUCAAAUCCAGAAGAUGAGGAAGGCGAAGUAGGAGGGAGGGAAUGAGAGAGAGAGAGAGGGAGAGAGGAGGAGGAGGGCCUCCUCCUCCCUCACCCUCUGGAAAUACACAACACCUCUCAGAAAGAUGGGCUUGAGAGAGAUUUUUAGGAUUUUAAGCCCCUUCUUUUUUUUAUUGCAGAUGUUAUAAUAAUGUGAUAGAUGCAGUAUUUCAUAACCUUUUACUGCAAAUAUUUCAUAAUCUUCCAAUAUUUCUUAACUACUCUCCAAAAAAAACUUUUACUGCUGAUGCAUGUUCCAUACUAUCAUUGUUUUACACACUAGGCCAACAUUUACAUAUACUUGGCUGCUGCUACUUAUAUUCAAAAGGUGGUUCAACUAUUCACCAUGAAGCAACCUAAAUUCCAAAACACUUCACAUGGAUUUCCCACAUUUUCCCAAUUUCUAACCUACGAAACAACAACAUUUUAGGAUGUAGCAGUAUUCCAACAUCCAUUUAAAUUUCCAAGUGAGGUAAGACAUUAACGGAUCCAUUUAGAUUUCUAACAUUGCGAAGGGCUUCUAAUGCUACUACCAAAUCUCAGAAACCAGCAGCCUGCAUUGUGGAGUUAAUCUCCAAGACCGAAGUUACUUGCACCUUAUCCGUGAAAGACGCAUCUAGUUCAGCUUUCUGCAGCGCAAAACUUGUUUCAUGUUACUCCCUGAGCUUAAGUUGCUCCUCACCAAGCCUCUGUAUCUCCAUUUCAAAUUGCAAAACAUUAACGGAUUCAUUUAGAUUCCGCACGUUGCGAAGGGCUUCUAAUGCUGCUACCAUAUCUCAGAAACCAGUAGCUUGCAUUGCGGAGUUAAUCUCCCUGACCAGAGUUGCUUGCACUUAUCCGUGAAAGAUGCAUCUAGUUCAGAUUUGUGUCGCGUCAAACUUGUUUCAUGUUACUCUCUGGGCUUAAGUUGCUCAUCACCAAGUCUCUGCAUCUCCAUUUUGAAUUGCUCAUUUUUCUUCCUUUGCUCGUCAAGUGCUUCUCCCAAGGUAUGAACCUCUCUUGAAAUCCCUCUUUGCUAAAUUAUUAUCCCAUGCACAUAUGCCCAUAACACCCCAGCUCCAAAUCCUCUAAUUCAAUUUCGUUUCUCUGGGCCCAAACACCUCACAAUACACCUCAUUCAUUACUAUAUCACUCAUGUCUAUUCCUUCAUUAGUUCUUUUUUGAAUUCGUCUAUUGAAAUCAGCUUAAAAACAAAUUAAAAAAAUGCUUACAUCAGUAGCAUAAGCAGUUUUUCAAAAAUAGUGCAUCAUUGGUUGCACUCGACUAUCAAUGUCAAGCCUCGUCCACUGGUAUUUCAGUCUCUCCACCAGUGUGGGUUAGUUUGAAGAAUGUGAACCUGUCCAGUUCCUUUCGAAGCUUCUUCCUCUGUACAAUAUUUUACAGAUUAUAGGCGUCACUCAUCAUUAGCCAUGUUAUUGCAUAAUGCACAAAAGAUGGGACAGUAAUCUUGAUCAAGCCAUUUGGUUACCAAAACAAUCAAAAUUGGAUAAAUAUUAUAGGUAGUAAUCUUAACCAUCAUGUUAUAAACAACUCCCCCACACGCAUAAGUUAUGAUAUAAACUUCUAUCUGCUAUCAUAUAUUGCAAUCUUGUGAAGAGAACUACUAUCAUUACCAACCACCAUACAAAUUUAUAUCAAUGUAUAUCUAAAUAUUAUAUUUCUGGUUAGCCCAGAAUAUAGUUGGAUCGAAAAAGAAUUAAAAACAAGCCCACAACAUAGUUGGUUCAUUGCCUAUCAAAUAAUUGUGAUGCUUGGUAUAUGUUUUUAAUUACUAGUCCACUCAAAGUAGUUAUACGAGACAAUCAAAUGAGUGUAAACAUGUCAUCAAUAUCACGCCCCGAUUCAAGAAUAAAGAAUAUUCCUGAAUUAGAGUGUAAAUCAUACCAAAGUUAUAAGAAUAAAAUUUGACCACCAUGAUAUGAUGAGAAAUGAAGCCACCACUACAAGAAAAAUAGCUUUUGACAACAUGCCACUAACAACGUGUGUCUAUUUCACGUUGUGGAAGUAUACUUUUGACAACAUGCACCAAGUGCACGUUGUAGUACGCUACUUAUAACAACGUUCCUUUAAUACGCGUUGUCAAAAUGAAAUUUAGAAAAAAUUUCACAACGCAAACAUGCGUGUUGUGAUAUCUUUAAGUUCUACAACGUGCAAACCAUGUUGUCAACUUGUUUCAUUUUUUUAAAGGAAAUAUACGCAAAAAUUAUGCGGGAGAACUCCCUCUCUCUCAAAAUAUUAAAACAUUCGAAAGUUUUUUAAAACCCCUCUUUUUUCUGAAUAAUAUUUCACAGCCCCUCUUUCUUUUGCAAAUCACUCUCACACUACUAAACCUAGGGAAAAAUCCAAUAUCCCAACCUCUUUUGCUCCAUUCCAGCCAUCUCUCUCUCUCUCUCUCUCUCACUCAUGGAUCCUCUCUUUGCUCAUCAUCCACUGCCUCUGUCAUUGCCAACUUCACAGCCUCUCAAUCUCUUAUCGCCGUCAUCAAAUCCCUCAUGCUUUGCUCUCUCAUCGCGAACCGCUACUUCUUUUGUCUUAGAUCUACAAUUCUUAAGGCCAAUCCUAAUAUUUGUUGUUCUUUGCAGGUAUUGGCCUUCAUCACCGAGCCCACCAGCAUCUCUCCACCACUAACUUGCUCAGCCUCAUUUAGGAAAAAAUUGAGUGGCCUCCAGGUACAAAAUUUUAGUGCGAAGGUUUGAUUUUUGUUGGAUUGUUCAUUUGGUUUUGGUAAUAUAAUAUUUGGGUUUAUAUUACUAUUUGGAUUGUUUGGUUUUGUUCACUGUUUCGGUUUUGUUCACUUAAUAUAUAUAUUUUUAUAAUAUACAUUAAAUAGUGUGUUUAAGGCUCUUCAUGUGCUUAUGAAUGCCUUUUUUCUAUGAUAUAUAUAUAAUUUAUAUUCCCUCAAAAUUUUCUGAGUGGAUAUGCCUUCAAGGAUUAAUUUUAACUUUCAUCAGAUUCCUUCAUAUUACAGGUUUUGAUACUGGUUUUGUGCUGAUUACAUGUGUUGAUUUUGGUUCCCUUUAACAAAUGGGUAAGCUUUCAUCUUUCAAAAGCUGUCCCUUUAAUAGGGGUGAGUUUCGGAUUUUUCCUUCAACUUCUUUUGCAUUUUGUGUGUUAAUUUUGACAUAUGUUUUUGUUGGGUAUCUUGUCUUGGUUAUGAAUAAUUUCAGUUUAGGCCAGAAAACUUGAGUAAGGUUUUUCAGUGCAAACAAAUAUAAGAUCAUAAUAGUCUUCUUGUACAUACUUAUUUUCAAUUGUUUUAUGAAAAUUUCAUGUCUGGCUACAAAGCAAUUUGCAUUUUGUCUUCUAAUUUUUGCCAAUAUUGUAGCUAUGCAAUUUUGUCUUCUAACGAAAUAAUUUGCAUCAUGUAUGAUUGUGAUUAUUGUUUGGCUUAGGAAGAAGAAAAUAGAAGGAAAGGGCGCAUUAAGGGUCCUCCCGUUGGACAGAUAUUGAUGUUAACCUUUCCUGUACGUCUCUGCAUUAAACUUGCUGUAUUAUGAUAAUAUAAGUACUAUACUUUUUUUCCCUGAUAUGUUGUAUAUUACUCUCUAAACUACCAUAUCUUUGAUUGAGCCUUGAGGGGAUUGAUUGUUAAAGAUCUUUGUUCUCUGUUCUGUUAUGUAUUUUCUCUAAUUUAACUUCCUCUCUUACUAUAGUUCAUCUCAAACUUAGAGAAAGAUAAGAACAUAGUUUAGUUGGUUGGAUUGAGUUAAUGGCUAAUCAUAGGUUACUAGUUUUGCAAACUUUCUAUUCCUAAAUUUGCAAUUUCUUAACUAUUAAAAUUGUCUUGUUUGAUUUUUUUUGUUCAGAACUUCUGUGCGACCUUAAGAUGGAUAGUAUGGGUGCUUCUUGGAAUGAUAGGUGCACAUUGGUUAGAUAAUAUUCCGCAAUUGGACAAAGGGUUUGAAACACAACUAAUCAGGUUUCUUGAUAAUGCUUUACAAGGAUUUUAAAUUGUAAUUAUACUAUGCAUAGUUCAAUUUCCCUUCAUAUGGAUAAAUGUAAGUUGACAAUGAAUCUUUCUAUGGAGUUAUUUUUUGAAUGAAAACUCUUUAUUAUGGGUUACAUUAUGAUUUUUAUUUUAUCAAAGGUUAUAUUAUGAUUGGGAAGGAAGAAAAUAGUCACACUUAACUAAAGCUUGAAUUUAUGGAUCAACUCUAUUGUUAUAAGGUGAUUAUGAAAAUAAUUUUUUAUUAUUUAUAAAUAUUUAUUAUCACGACGUGCAAAGACUGUUGUUAAAAUUGAAACAACAACAUGUCUAUGAACGUUGUCAAUAAGACAUACAACAACAUGCUGAACACGUUGUUGUCCAUUGAUUCUACAAUGUGUGCACGUUGCCGUUAAUGGCAUGGACAACGAGCACUUAAAUCAACGACCACAUGCAAAGCGUGUUGUCGAAGGGCCUUGACCUUUUAACGACAUCGGCUUCCACAACAUGCGCCGUGUGUUGUCAAUACCCUUCAACAACGCCCCAUGAGCGCUGUGAAAGGACUUUUUUCUUGUAGUGCACAAAUAAUACAAAUUUAUUUAAUAAUACAAAAUUAGAGUCGCAGUAGCUCGUAGUUAAAUAUAUACUAAGAUCCUUAUCAAACGAUUUACUACUUACAAAUACUAAUUAUAAAAUUCAACAACAAAAGCCUAGUAGCUUGGUUGAAACCCGUUUCCUCAAACUUCGCAUUGAAUCUUGCACAAUCUAUUAGGGUAUGAGCAUUCUAAUGCCGAGUAGAGUACCAUCAAACCCCUCAAGGUCAGCUAUCACAGUUAAUCAAAGUGUCAUCCAUCGAACAACACAAGAUACAUAAAUUAUGCAACCAUACUAGAUAAAUAAAAUUAUAUAUGCGGUGAUGCAAUGAACUUACUCCCUUCUAAUCCCACAAAUACAUACCUUAGGGCAACAAGCCUGCAUGUCCCAUACCAUGCAUUUUAUCACUGUGGCUCUAAAUACCCUAAAAUAUGAACUAGCGCCCAUUCGUCCCCUAACCCCAUUUUAUAUUUAUGCAUUUCUCAACUUUCACUUUUCAUUAAAGGCCCUGCUCCCAUAACCUAACUAUAUUCAGGCCCUGCUUCCAUCACUUGAAUAUAUUCCACAUUUUUACCCAGCUAUAUCUAAAGCCUUCUCCCACCUCUUAGGUAUACCUCAACCCAAACACAAACUUAAAACGCAACCGUAUUUAUGAUGCAUAUGUAAUGCAGCUUAAACAUCAUUUAUCUCUGUGGAAUAAUAAUACAGAUAAUAUUUCAAGUUUAAUUACAUGAAUAAUAAUAUUCACCCAACAUCAAAUAAAAUCCACGAAGCAACAUUAAUAAUAAUAUUCAUAAAACAUCAAAUAGUAUUUCAUCGAACAUCAAAUAAUAUUCACCGAACAAAACAAUAACAAUAUUCAUAUUUAUAGUACUAUAUAUAAUCACCAAGACUAAAAGUGACAUAGCCACAUCAUCAGGAAAUCAGGAAACCUUACCUCAUGUCCAGCUAGCUAAAGUUCCAAAUUACCCUUCAGAAGUUCCCGAAUUCGUCGAAUAUACACUUUUGUUCCAAUUCUUGAACAAAUUCAAACCCAAAUUAUUAUUGAGCAGUCUUGCUCUAUUUCACCUAACACCAAUAAACCACAGCUUAACACCUUAACCUUACGCAUUUCAAAUAUUUUGCGUAAAAAUGACAAAAAUGCCCUUAGGACCAACUCGGGGUCCAAAGUGGUCAAAUCUCGUCCAAAAUAAUCUAAAACUAUGUCCUACACCAUGUCGAUACCCAAACAAGGCAAACGACACCCGUUGUCCAAAAGUCACCAUUUGGGUCCCGUGGGCCCCACAUCAAACGACACUUCAAACAACAACAGGCUUGACGCACAACCUCGGAUUAAAUCAAAACAUAUACGAUCGGACUCGGAUCGAGAAAUCAAGUCAGAUGAACUAAAACUAUGGCAUCAGAGGCUGUCAGAAUAGCCGAGCUUGGCAACGGUUACUGUUCAUCAUCUUAAAAAAAAUUCCGAAAAUUUUCCCCUUCUUUUUAAGAAUAAAACCCAGACUUAGUGAGACAAUUUGACCAACCAAAAGUUAACGAAAUUGAGCACUUGCAGUGGUUUAGAAGCUUAUUCCCUCUAGUUUCUGACCCAACAAACCAUACUCCGAACAGAGCUUAAACAAAUGAGAAACCCAACUCCAAAUUUGGGUUCGUGGCUGGUUCUCUGCAUAAAACAUAUUUUUUUUCAAACUUUUGUAGCCGUGUUUAACACAACCAACUUAACCAAAUUCGACAAAACUAAUUGUGUUUUGUUCCUUCCCAAGUUUAGUUUAAAACCCGACAAAUGGUUUCCUCAAACACUCAAAGGAUUGGGAGAAAAAUAGAGUCAAAAUGAGGCUCGCGGACUAAAAAUUUUCAAAAAAAUGUAAUUUUCCAGAUUUGGUUAUAAAUCGUUUUCAACCAUUCUAUUAUCCCCAGGCUGUUCCUAAGGCUUCUAAAACUCUUCUAAAGUUCAUAUCUAUCAUUAGAACUCAUCAAAGACUCAAAAUGAAACCAAAUUCAUAAACACCCAUACUUGAAAAAUUGCUCUAUUCCCCCCCCCCCACCCCCCCAAACCCGAAAAUGAAAAUUCAAAACUCUUCUAAUUCAAUUUCCCUAUUCACUCAUGUGACAUCAAAAUGCUCUUCAAAGGACUAGAAUCAAUUUAAACAUAGGUGAAAAAAAAACUCAUCACUCUAUAGGGCUGAUGCCCUCCAUAUUUCAGAUUCUUUGUUUUUUUUAGCCUACAAGGGUAUUUUGGUAAUUUUCACACAUAUGGUUAUUUGGUCAUUUUGGCCCAAAACUCAGAAAUGAUUUCCUACGUGUUCGUUGAGUCGACUAAUAUCAUACUACCUAAGAAUCAUAAGGGUCUCACUUCAAUUUCUUAAAUGUCCUUUGAAAAAUUCAUAAAAUAUUAUGUAAGGGCAUAUUCAUCCAACUUGAAAUUAAACACAAUUACUCCAUUAGUCUCAAUCCAAAAUCACUUGAUAAAAUACCCAUAAUCAUUCUUCACUAUAAUACUAUUUUCACUAAAAUACGAAGGUCCACCUUUAAUUUUUCGCGGUAUUACAAUCAAAUUAAUAUAAUAUUUUCUAAUUUGUUCUAUUUAUAUGUUACUAGCAUCUCGGCACACGCUUCCGCACUUGGGAGAAAAAAAUUUAAAUUUAUUUUACAAUUAAAAAAGAUAAUGGAUAGUUGUGUUCCAUAAAAAUAGGAUCCAUGAUCUAAUUUUUCUUUUAAUUUUAAUUUUUUUUAAAUAUGAAAAGUAUGAAUUUACCAUAUUAUCCUCAUUUAAUUAAUAAUUUCAAUUCUUAAUGUUUGCAUUAACCAAGGGUAUUUUUGGUAUUUUUGAAUUUUUUACCAUUCUCUACCUUUUGGUUUAUAUAUAUAGAUAAAAGUAUGCAUCUACUGUAUAUAGGAAGUAAGAAUCAUUGUAGUGCUUAUGACUCACAUAAGCAUACUAGUACUGCACAUAAACAUGUUAUACACAAACAUAGCCAUCAAUCCACAUUACUUUGAGUUAUAGGUAAAGUAGUAUGCAAUAGUUGACGAUGCAAUUGAUAGGGUGGUGUAUGUAUAUUUAUGAAUAUACAUAAUUAUCUUUUACAAGAGUCCUAUAGGACUAAAACCAGAAUUCUUAUAAGAUAAAACAUAUAACAAAGCUUGGAGAUAAAGUUAUGAUAAAUACAAGCAGAUGUAUAUUCAGGUUGGAUGUCUAUAAGGAGGGCUUUGUGUGUGUGUAUAUAUAUAUAAACAGAGGUCAUGUUAAAUAUUAGGAAGGUAUCAUAAAAUAUAACUCGUUAUUCAACUUCUUACUUGACCUUUAGUCCUAUCCCAAUAAAACACCAAUGCAUUCCAAUAAUCCUUGUGGACACGUUUGUCUCCACAACUAAACAGUUAUUGACUCCCAACAUAGGGUUCAUACC